Molecule: ribosomal RNA, 1485 nt
Filed under: uncultured organism
Description: SSU rRNA
Rfam family: Bacterial small subunit ribosomal RNA
Source: RNAcentral
CGAACGCUGGCGGCGUGCCUAAUACAUGCAAGUCGAGCGAGCGGAACUAACAGAUUUACUUCGGUAAUGACGUUAGGAAAGCGAGCGGCGGAUGGGUGAGUAACACGUGGGGAACCUGCCCCAUAGUCUGGGAUACCACUUGGAAACAGGUGCUAAUACCGGAUAAGAAAGCAGAUCGCAUGAUCAGCUUUUAAAAGGCGGCGUAAGCUGUCGCUAUGGGAUGGCCCCGCGGUGCAUUAGCUAGUUGGUAAGGUAAAGGCUUACCAAGGCGAUGAUGCAUAGCCGAGUUGAGAGACUGAUCGGCCACAUUGGGACUGAGACACGGCCCAAACUCCUACGGGAGGCAGCAGUAGGGAAUCUUCCACAAUGGACGCAAGUCUGAUGGAGCAACGCCGCGUGAGUGAAGAAGGUUUUCGGAUCGUAAAGCUCUGUUGUUGGUGAAGAAGGAUAGAGGUAGUAACUGGCCUUUAUUUGACGGUAAUCAACCAGAAAGUCACGGCUAACUACGUGCCAGCAGCCGCGGUAAUACGUAGGUGGCAAGCGUUGUCCGGAUUUAUUGGGCGUAAAGCGAGCGCAGGCGGAAGAAUAAGUCUGAUGUGAAAGCCCUCGGCUUAACCGAGGAACUGCAUCGGAAGCUGUUUUUCUUGAGUGCAGAAGAGGAGAGUGGAACUCCAUGUGUAGCGGUGGAAUGCGUAGAUAUAUGGAAGAACACCAGUGGCGAAGGCGGCUCUCUGGUCUGCAACUGACGCUGAGGCUCGAAAGCAUGGGUAGCGAACAGGAUUAGAUACCCUGGUAGUCCAUGCCGUAAACGAUGAGUGCUAAGUGUUGGGAGGUUUCCGCCUCUCAGUGCUGCAGCUAACGCAUUAAGCACUCCGCCUGGGGAGUACGACCGCAAGGUUGAAACUCAAAGGAAUUGACGGGGGCCCGCACAAGCGGUGGAGCAUGUGGUUUAAUUCGAAGCAACGCGAAGAACCUUACCAGGUCUUGACAUCUAGUGUCAUUUGUAGAGAUACAAAGUUCCCUUCGGGGACGCUAAGACAGGUGGUGCAUGGCUGUCGUCAGCUCGUGUCGUGAGAUGUUGGGUUAAGUCCCGCAACGAGCGCAACCCUUGUUAUUAGUUGCCAGCAUUAAGUUGGGCACUCUAAUGAGACUGCCGGUGACAAACCGGAGGAAGGUGGGGAUGACGUCAAGUCAUCAUGCCCCUUAUGACCUGGGCUACACACGUGCUACAAUGGGCAGUACAACGAGAAGCGAGCCUGCGAAGGCAAGCGAAUCUCUGAAAGCUGUUCUCAGUUCGGACUGCAGUCUGCAACUCGACUGCACGAAGCUGGAAUCGCUAGUAAUCGCGGAUCAGCACGCCGCGGUGAAUACGUUCCCGGGCCUUGUACACACCGCCCGUCACACCAUGGGAGUCUGCAAUGCCCAAAGCCGGUGGCCUAACCUUCGGGAAGGAGCCGUCUAAGGCAGGGCAGAUGACUGGGGUGA